This 567-nucleotide long non-coding RNA is filed under the name Sus scrofa (pig). Its description in RNAcentral is "lncRNA (ENSSSCG00070004746.1)". Lineage: Eukaryota; Metazoa; Chordata; Mammalia; Artiodactyla; Suidae. The record is from RNAcentral.
GCCAAAGUUCAUUUUGUGCCUAGGCAGUGAAAGAAAUCUCCUGAAGUUAUUUCAAAAGCACCUGGGGUUGUUUGGGGGAGAAGACGCAACAAGGAACCUCACAGAAGACCCAAGACUUAAACAAACACAAGUAGUUCUCACAGGGCUGGAACUGGGAAGUUGGAAUUUUACUUUUCUAUCUCUCAGAGGCAAGGUAGUCUCUCUGAACUCUGCUUCCCUCUGAUAUCAGCUCUGUUUUUCCUCAGCAGUCUUGUCCGGGACCCAGCCCAGUACCCAAGGCUCAACUCCACAUCACUUCCAGGUUCCUGGAAACCAAAGUGAAAAGGGAAACAAUCAGCUACAAGAAACAGUAUUGCACCAUGGUUACAAGAGCAGGUUUUGGCGUAAGACAGCUACUUCCUGACUGCAAGACCUCAGGCAAGGAUGAUAGUGAUGACGACAGUGAGAAUGACCACCACUAAAUCAUCAGGCUUCUUGGCCCUCAUCUUCCUCCCAGAUGUACACUACGUCCAGGAAAUCUCUCCAGUCUCACUGAUCUGUUGAAAUAAAUGACCACGUGUCAGAGCA